CAUACAUGCUGGGGGAGUCAGUGGACUGAGAGGAUGAAAUCCGACCCUUUGAACUUGAUGCGGUUUAUACCGACGUAAGGAAGCAGGAAAUCUGUUUG
Molecule: non-coding RNA, 98 nt
Filed under: Dialister succinatiphilus
Lineage: Bacteria; Bacillati; Bacillota; Negativicutes; Veillonellales; Veillonellaceae
Also listed under: 1 other name
Description: TPP sequence
Rfam family: TPP riboswitch aptamer (THI element)
About the family: Vitamin B(1) in its active form thiamin pyrophosphate (TPP) is an essential coenzyme that is synthesised by coupling of pyrimidine and thiazole moieties in bacteria. The previously detected thiamin-regulatory element, thi box was extended, resulting in a new, highly conserved RNA secondary structure, the THI element, which is widely distributed in eubacteria and also occurs in some archaea.
Source: RNAcentral